This is a long non-coding RNA of Bos taurus (domestic cattle), 1482 nucleotides long. NCBI's taxonomy places the organism in Eukaryota, Metazoa, Chordata, Mammalia, Artiodactyla, Bovidae. The record is from Ensembl.
CGGCGUUCACGGAACAAGCCGGCUGGGCGCGCUUUCAGACUGCCAGUGCCGUGAGGACAGCUGAGGAUGAGGACCCAUUCCAGAGUAAAGAGAGUAAAGAGCACAGCAGGCGAGCCAAGAUCUGAUCCUGAACGAACCGGGAAAUAUGCACGCGAGAUAUUACUGAGCUGAGAUCUAGACACGGACUUCGGAGUAGAGAACACUGCUGCGUCGGCGUUAAGCUUCCGGAACUGGAUCAUUCCAUCACGGAUAUGUAAAAACUUUUCUUGUUUUUAGGGGAUACACACAGAAUUAUUUAGGGGUAAAAGUCAAGGGAUUUCAAAUCAUUUAACAAGCUUAAUAAGAAGGAGGAGGAGGAAAAGAAGUGUGUAAUGGGGGUGAAAGUGAAAAUCACUUAGUCGUGUCCACCUCUUUGCGACCCCAUGGACUGUAUAAUCCGUGGAUUCUCCCGGCCAGAAUACUGGAGUGGGUAUCCUUUCCUUUCUCCAGGGGAUCUUUCCAACCCAGAAAUCAAACCAGGGUCUCCUGCAUUGCAGGCGGACUCUUUACUAAGCUGAGCUAUGAGGGAAGCCCUCAUGGGACUGGUGGAGCAGAUAGAAGGAAAAAAACAAAGAAAAGACUGCAAAAAGUUAACACUGGUGAAUCUAGGUAAAUGGUAUAAGGAAAUUCCAUUACAUUAUACUUGCAUCUUUCUACAAAUUUCGGAGUUUUUCCAAAAUAAAAUAUUUUGUAAAACAUGAGCAAAAAAGAAAAAGCAAGAGAUGUGUAUGAGACGACAAGCUGAUGGCAGGAUGGAUUUGCUGCAGAGGAUUCACCCCCUUCUGUGGGGAGCAGGCUGGCCCCGACAUUCUCCGCCUGCAGUGCUGGGCUGGGUUCCUAUAUUACCGAAGGCCCCAAGGUGUGACCACCAAUCACGCGUCCACGGCAAAGACAGAGUGCCGAUUUGACGAAUUUACUAUUAAAAAAAAAAAAAAAAAAAAACUCCUGCUAUGCUACCUGGGGCUUGCCUGAUAGCUCAGUUGGUAAAGAAUCUGCCUGCGAUGCAGGAGACCUCAGUUCGAUUACUGGGUUGGGAGGAUUCACUGGAGGAGGGAACGGCUACUCACUCCAGUGUUCUGGCCUGGAGAAUCCAUGGGGUCACAAAGAUCGGACACGACUGAGCGACUCUCACUUUCACUUUCUUAUGCUACCUACCAAUCGGGAAGAAUAGGUAACUGGUUAAGUGCAAAAAGUUAAUGAAAGCAGCAAACCAUUUUCAAAAAUGACACAUACAUGGCUUAAAUACUUCUUUUUCCCUUGAAACUGUGUGCACUUUCUGUGAGUGGGUGUUUGCCAAUUGGAGUUACAUGUUGUUUUCCUUGAAUCAAGAACAUUCAUACAACUCAUACAUCACCAAUUAUUUCCAGAUUUAGUUUGUUUAAAGUUGAAAGUGCAUUUGUUCUAGAUGUUUACUUCUUUUAAUCAUUUACAGGUAUCUUACCC